RNAcentral lists this long non-coding RNA (3013 nucleotides) under Salmo salar (Atlantic salmon). RNAcentral describes it as "lncRNA (ENSSSAG00000103144.1)". The record is from RNAcentral. Lineage: Eukaryota; Metazoa; Chordata; Actinopteri; Salmoniformes; Salmonidae.
CCCUUUAUCAUGCUGAGACCAAGGUCUCUUUUACAGAAGAGCGCUGUAAUUAAAUAAAUAUUCACCAAAAUAUACACAUCAAUGCGCUACAAAAAGCAAAACAGAGCUACAAAACACAAUCAUAGAAAACAAACACAUUCUUCAGUAAAAAGGUCCUCAAUAAGUCAUAAUAAAUAUUUGGGCAUCUGGAUUGACAAAAAGUUAAUUUUCAUGUUAUGAAUUGUGCUAAAAAACUAGGUGCUAAAAAACUAAGGUGCUAAAAAACUAAAAGCAGAAUUAACUAACUCAGUGGAGAUCGAAGGGAUCUCCAGAGUUAAGCAUCCCUGACUCAGUGGAGAUCGAAGGGAUCUCCAGAGUUAUCCUUCCCUGACUCAGUGGAGAUCAAAGGGAUCUCCGGAGUUAUCCUUCCCUGACUCAGUGGAGAUCGAAGGGAUCUCCGGAGUUAUCCUUCCCUGACUCAGUGGAGAUCGAAGGGAUCUCCAGAGUCAUCCUUCCCUGACUCAGUGGAGAUCGAAGGGAUCUCCAGAGUCAGCCAUCCCUGACUCAGUGGAGAUUGAAGGGAUCUCCAGAGUCGUCCAUCCCUGACUCAGUGGAGAUCGAAGGGAUCUCCAGAGUCAGCCAUCCCUGACUCAGUGGAGAUCGAAGGGAUCUCCAGAGUUGUCCUUCCCUGACUCAGUGGAGAUCGAAGGGAUCUCCAGAGUUAUCUAUCCCUGACUCAGUGGAGAUUGAAGGGAUCUCCAGAGUCAUCCAUCCCUGACUCAGUGGAGAUCGAAGGGAUCUCCAGAGUCAUCCAUCCCUGACUCAGUGGAGAUCGAAGGGAUCUCCAGAGUCAUCCAUCCCUGACUCAGUGGAGAUCGAAGGGAUCUCCAGAGUCAUCCAUCCCUGACUCAGUGGAGAUCAAAGGGAUCUCCAGAGUUAUCCUUCCCUGACUCAGUGGAGAUCGAAGGGAUCUCCAGAGUCAGCCAUCCCUGACUCAGUGGAGAUCGAAGGGAUCUCCAGAGUUGUCCUUCCCUGACUCAGUGGAGAUCGAAGGGAUCUCCAGAGUUAUCUAUCCCUGACUCAGUGGAGAUUGAAGGGAUCUCCAGAGUUAAGCAUCCCUGACUCAGUGGAGAUCGAAGGGAUCUCCAGAGUUAUCCUUCCCUGACUCAGUGGAGAUCGAAGGGAUCUCCAGAGUUAUCUAUCCCUGACUCAGUGGAGAUUGAAGGGAUCUCCAGAGAUAAGCAUCCCUGACUCAGUGGAGAUCGAAGGGAUCUCCAGAGUUAAGCAUCCCUGACUCAGUGGAGAUCGAAGGGAUCUCCAGAGUUAAGCAUCCCUGACUCAGUGGAGAUCGAAGGGAUCUCCAGAGUUAUCCUUCCCUGACUCAGUGGAGAUCGAAGGGAUCUCCAGAGUCAGCCAACCCUGACUCAGUGGAGAUCGAAGGGAUCUCCAGAGUUGUCCUUCCCUGACUCAGUGGAGAUUGAAGGGAUCUCCAAAGUUAUCUAUCCCUGACUCAGUGGAGAUUGAAGGGAUCUCCAGAGUUAAGCAUCCCUGACUCAGUGGAGAUCGAAGGGAUCUCCAGAGUCAUCCAUCCCUGACUCAGUGGAGAUCGAAGGGAUCUCCAGAGUUAAGCAUCCCUGACUCAGUGGAGAUCGAAGGGAUCUCCAGAGUUAUCCUUCCCUGACUCAGUGGAGAUCGAAGGGAUCUCCAGAGUUAUCCUUCCCUGACUCAGUGGAGAUUGAAGGGAUCUCCAGAGAUAAGCAUCCCUGACUCAGUGGAGAUCGAAGGGAUCUCCAGAGUUAAGCAUCCCUGACUCAGUGGAGAUCGAAGGGAUCUCCAGAGUUAUCCUUCCCUGACUCAGUGGAGAUCGAAGGGAUCUCCAGAGUCAGCCAACCCUGACUCAGUGGAGAUCGAAGGGAUCUCCAGAGUUGUCCUUCCCUGACUCAGUGGAGAUUGAAGGGAUCUCCAAAGUUAUCUAUCCCUGACUCAGUGGAGAUUGAAGGGAUCUCCAGAGUUAAGCAUCCCUGACUCAGUGGAGAUCGAAGGGAUCUCCAGAGUCAUCCAUCCCUGACUCAGUGGAGAUCGAAGGGAACUCCAGAGUUAAGCAUCCCUGACUCAGUGGAGAUCGAAGGGAUCUCCAGAGUUAUCCUUCCCUGACUCAGUGGAGAUCGAAGGGAUCUCCAGAGUUAUCCUUCCCUGACUCAGUGGAGAUUGAAGGGAUCUCCAGAGUUAUCCUUCCCUGACUCAGUGGAGAUUGAAGGGAUCUCCAGAGUUAAACAUCCCUGACUCAGUGGAGAUCGAAGGGAUCUCCGGAGUUAUCCUUCCCUGACUCAGUGGAGAUCGAAGGGAUCUCCAGAGUCAUCCUUCCCUGACUCAGUGGAGAUCGAAGGGAUCUCCAGAGUCAGCCAUCCCUGACUCAGUGGAGAUCGAAGGGAUCUCCAGAGUCAUCCAUCCCUGACUCAGUGGAGAUCGAAGGGAUCUCCAGAGUCAUCCAUCCCUGACUCAGUGGAGAUCGAAGGGAUCUCCAGAGUCAUCCAUCCCUGACUCAGUGGAGAUCAAAGGGAUCUCCAGAGUUAUCCUUCCCUGACUCAGUGGAGAUCGAAGGGAUCUCCAGAGUCAGCCAUCCCUGACUCAGUGGAGAUCGAAGGGAUCUCCAGAGUUGUCCUUCCCUGACUCAGUGGAGAUCGAAGGGAUCUCCAGAGUUAUCUAUCCCUGACUCAGUGGAGAUUGAAGGGAUCUCCAGAGUUAAGCAUCCCUGACUCAGUGGAGAUCGAAGGGAUCUCCAGAGUUAAGCAUCCCUGACUCAGUGGAGAUCGAAGGGAUCUCCAGAGUUAUCCUUCCCUGACUCAGUGGAGAUCGAAGGGAUCUCCAGAGUCAGCCAACCCUGACUCAGUGGAGAUCGAAGGGAUCUCCAGAGUUGUCCUUCCCUGACUCAGUGGAGAUUGAAGGGAUCUCCAAAGUUAUCUAUCCCUGACUCAGUGGAGAUCGAAAGGAUCUCCAGAGUAGUCCUUCCCUGACUCAGUGGAGAUCGAAGGGA